AGAACGAACGCUGGCGGCAUGCCUAAUACAUGCAAGUCGAACGAACACUUCGGUGUUAGUGGCGCACGGGUGCGUAACGCGUGGGAAUCUGCCCUUGGGUUCGGAAUAACAGUUGGAAACGACUGCUAAUACCGGAUGAUAUCGAAAGAUCAAAGAUUUAUCGCCCAGGGAUGAGCCCGCGUAGGAUUAGCUAGUUGGUGAGGUAAAGGCUCACCAAGGCGACGAUCCUUAGCUGGUCUGAGAGGAUGAUCAGCCACACUGGGACUGAGACACGGCCCAGACUCCUACGGGAGGCAGCAGUAGGGAAUAUUGGACAAUGGGCGCAAGCCUGAUCCAGCAAUGCCGCGUGAGUGAUGAAGGCCUUAGGGUUGUAAAGCUUCUUUACCCGAGAUGAAUAUAGACUAGUAAGUACGGGAAGAAGUAACGCCCCGACUAACCGUCCGUAGCAGACAGCCGAC
Molecule: ribosomal RNA, 458 nt
Filed under: uncultured soil bacterium
Lineage: Bacteria
Description: bacterial SSU rRNA
Rfam family: Bacterial small subunit ribosomal RNA
Source: RNAcentral